RNAcentral lists this long non-coding RNA (249 nucleotides) under Lathyrus oleraceus (garden pea). Its description in RNAcentral is "Pisum sativum (pea) long non-coding RNA (PSAT_LNC004162)". Lineage: Eukaryota; Viridiplantae; Streptophyta; Magnoliopsida; Fabales; Fabaceae. The record is from RNAcentral.
UUCUUCUUUCUUCUUCUUCUGAAUUCGUGAGCGGUGAAAAGAGACUGAAGAGUGAUAAGAAAGUAAAGCCAAAAGGAAUACUACCAGGUCCAAACGUCUUAAAUAUCAUGUUACAAACUGAUUAGAAUAUUUGAGAAUCUUCUGGUGUUAAGUCAUUUUGUCAUUAGUGUAAGAAUCCAGAUGGCUAACAAUAGAUAGUGAUAAUUGUGGAUACAUUGUAACCAAUUUUUUUUGUUAUAUAUGUACUUG